AACGAACGCUGGCGGCAUGCCUAACACAUGCAAGUCGAACGAGACCUUCGGGUCUAGUGGCGCACGGGUGCGUAACGCGUGGGAACCUGCCCUUAGGCUCGGAAUAACUCCCCGAAAGGGGUGCUAAUACCGGAUAAUGUCUUCGGACCAAAGAUUUAUCGCCUUUGGAUGGGCCCGCGUUGGAUUAGCUAGUUGGUAGGGUAAAAGCCUACCAAGGCGACGAUCCAUAGCUGGUCUGAGAGGAUGAUCAGCCACACUGGGACUGAGACACGGCCCAGACUCGUACGGGAGGCGGCAGUGGGGAAUAUUGGACAAUGGGCGAGAGCCUGAUCCAGCAAUGCCGCGUGAGUGAUGAAGGCCUUAGGGUUGUAAAGCUCUUUUACCCGGGAUGAUAAUGACAGUACCGGGAGAAUAAGCUCCGGCUAACUCCGUG
Molecule: ribosomal RNA, 433 nt
Filed under: uncultured bacterium
Lineage: Bacteria
Description: partial 16S ribosomal RNA
Rfam family: Bacterial small subunit ribosomal RNA
Source: RNAcentral